Molecule: ribosomal RNA, 172 nt
Filed under: uncultured bacterium
Lineage: Bacteria
Description: partial 16S ribosomal RNA
Rfam family: Bacterial small subunit ribosomal RNA
Source: RNAcentral
CCUACGGGAGGCAGCAGUGAGGAAUAUUGGGAAUGGGCGAAAGCCUGACCCAGCAACGCCGCGUGAGGGAAGAAGGGUUUCGGCUCGUAAACCUCUGUUCUGUGGGACGAAGGAGGUGACGGUACCAUAAGAGGAAGCCCCGGCUAACUACGUGCCAGCAGCCCGCGGUAAU